GAUGAACGCUGGCGGCGUGCCUAAUACAUGCAAGUCGAGCGAACAGACGAGGAGCUUGCUCCUCUGACGUUAGCGGCGGACGGGUGAGUAACACGUGGAUAACCUACCUAUAAGACUGGGAUAACUUCGGGAAACCGGAGCUAAUACCGGAUAAUAUAUUGAACCGCAUGGUUCAAUAGUGAAAGACGGUUUUGCUGUCACUUAUAGAUGGAUCCGCGCCGCAUUAGCUAGUUGGUAAGGUAACGGCUUACCAAGGCAACGAUGCGUAGCCGACCUGAGAGGGUGAUCGGACACACUGGAACUGAGAAACGGUCCAGACUCCUACGGGAGGCAGCAGUAGGGAAUCUUCCGCAAUGGGCGAAAGCCUGACGGAGCAACGCCGCGUGAGUGAUGAAGGUCUUCGGAUCGUAAAACUCUGUUAUUAGGGAAGAACAAAUGUGUAAGUAACUAUGCACGUCUUGACGGUACCUAAUCAGAAAGCCACGGCUAACUACGUG
This 497-nucleotide ribosomal RNA is filed under the name uncultured bacterium. RNAcentral's name for it is "partial 16S ribosomal RNA". It matches the Rfam family "Bacterial small subunit ribosomal RNA", at positions 28 to 507 of the family's 1533-position model. The record is from RNAcentral.